UGCUGGUACUUUGAACUCAACAUGUUGAAAAUCAGAACCUGUGACCUCUCUCUCCUCCUCUGUCCCUUCCUAGUGGCCGAGACUCCGCUGUUGUGUUGUCUUUGUAUCUGCAGGGCCUGAUCUGUCCUGGGCUCCCUCUGAGUGUUCAUUGAAGGUGGAGUGAGAAGAGGAGGGAAGAGGGAAGAAGAGGAAAGAAGUAUGAAGGGGGAAAAAUAAAGAAGAAAAUUAUGAAGGCAACAGAGAAGAGAAGGGAAUUGAGGAGAGGCAAAGAAGAGGGUAGUUAAGAGAGUCAGAAGAAUAUUUUAGACCACAGAUUUUGCUGCCUCUGAUAAGAAGACAGGAAAAUGAGUCUGUUAAAACCCAUCCAAUUGUGAAAAAAAGACACCUGUUCCAAAGAUGGCCAGUGACAUCAUCCAGAAAGGAAGCUCAUGUUUGAAGCUUGUAGAAGCUCAUUUCUACUCUGGAGAAGUGGAACAUCUUGCCAAAGAGCCAAACUCAUUCCUUUUGGGGCAGCUUAAUUUCGCAAGCUUUAUGCUAAUUACUGUUGUACAGAUUUGGCAGCUUUACAAAAAUUUUAUACUUGUAUGUGCAAGUUCAAGAAAUCUAUUUCAAUGGCUCAGAGUUAGGCUAUGAAGGCGUUUCAGACAAUGCCAACUAUAGUAAUGCUUGCUUUUUUUUUUUUUUAAACCUGUGAGUAGCUUAUAAUUUACAGUUUCAUAGGAAUUUGCUUAACAAAUGUGGACGUGGUUAGUUGUCUGCCUUCCAAAACCCAAACCUAUAUUUCUUCAUAUCCUAGGAUGUUGUCUGUCAGAUGACAAGUUUUUUCAGAAACCCGAGAAGGCCAUCUUUGGGGUGGGUGUUGUCCCUGUACUUCAUGAAUUCUACUCACAGCAGGCCUUCAGCAAUAUAGAGGCUCCGUUUUCAAUAUCCAGAAUUCAUGAAAGGGCAAAGAUUCACAAGUCAUGACAGAGCAAAAAGAAAAGAGUAAACAACACAAUGGAGAUAGACUAAGUGCUUAUUUCCAUGUGCCAAGGAGGGUUGGGAGAGAAUUAUUUAAGUAAUAACCCUUCUCUUUUUUGGGGGGAGUGGGAGUACCAGGGAUUGUACUCAGGGGCACGCAACAACUGAGCCACAUCCCCAGCCUUAUUUUGUAUUUUAUUUAGAAGACAGGGUCUCACUGAGUUGCUUAGUGCCUCGCUUUUACUGAGGCUGGCUUUGAACUUGGGAUUCUCCUGUCUGGGCCUCCCAAGCUACUGGGAUUACAGGUAUAAGUAACCCUUCUUGAUUAAAAAAAAAAAAAAUUAAAACAAGAUUGAAAGUGGCUUAAAGA
This 1330-nucleotide long non-coding RNA is filed under the name Ictidomys tridecemlineatus (thirteen-lined ground squirrel). RNAcentral's name for it is "lncRNA (ENSSTOG00000032599.1)". Lineage: Eukaryota; Metazoa; Chordata; Mammalia; Rodentia; Sciuridae. The record is from RNAcentral.